CCGCUGGGGUUCGGGUGCCGGUGGCUGCUCCCAAGAGCAGACCCGCCCCCCCGGGGAGAUGCUCAGCGUUGCUGUGGGCAGCGCGGGAUGGGCACCGGGUCCCGGCGUCGCCCGAGUCCUCCUGCCCCCAGCCAGCCCCUGUGCUCACAGAGGCCACGGCUUCCCUCGGCCCCUGCAGCCUCUCAAGGUGGGAUUUUUCAGCAAUCACAGCCUUUAGCAGUGGGGAAAAGAAAACCUGGAAGGUGUGUGGGAAAGGAUGCUAUUUUCGUCUACAGCACUAGCCUAAAAAAAAAAUCAAAAUAGAAAGGCUCCGUGGCUGUCGCUGCUCACUUCAAACCGUGUUGCUGUAAACCAUAGCGGGGCGGGUGCUGUGGCACUGGAAGCGAAGGAUGGUGCCGUACCCCGGGAGUACCAGACGCCCAAAGGUGAGAGUUCAGACCCGUCCUGACUGAUCGACACGGCUUUGUGAUGGCCAAAGCCCUUUUUCGUUUCUUUCCACGUAGGAUCGUCCCUUUCCCGGGGGGGGGGGGGUCGCAUCGCCGUCAUCUCCCCCCCAGGCAGUUUGGGCAGGAAGGAGCAGGGGCGAAGCAGCCUUUCUGCAGACAGUGCCCCGCGGGACCCGCUCGCAGGUCGGGGCUGAGCCAUCGCCCCUCCGCCCGGGCGAGCUGAAGCCCCAUCUGACCGCCUGCGUUUAUCCCUUUAUUUUCCGCCUGCCUGCUGGAAAGCGGCUCCGUCAGCUCCGGCAUCAUCUCUCCACCCUGAGCGGAGCCAGCCGUGCUCCGGCUGGCAGGGGAGGACGCGGGGGCUGGCGAGCGCAGCGGCGGCUCUCCCCCGAGCAUCCCCUUCCCACGCCGCGGGGAGCCCGGCAGCUCCCGCCCCACCGGCUCCUCGCUCACCAUGCUGGAUAUUUUCAUCCUGAUGUUUUUUGCCAUCAUCGGCCUGGUGAUCCUCUCCUACAUCAUCUACAUGCUCUAGAGCGAUGCAGGGGGAGAAGAAGAUGCGGCCCAGCAUCAGCUUUGCAAUCGAAGCAUCGUCCAGCUGCCGCCUGGUCCGUCUCCCUCAGAGCCUUCUGGAAGAGCAUUAACCCUCUGCGAGCACCCGGCUGCCCAGGAGGAGCUGUGCCGGGGGGGCCGCCGGCAGCGAGGGGGGGCCGAGUGUGGGGCGAAGGAGGGAGAUGGGGCGGCAGGGGAGAGAGCGGCGAGGUGACAUCCCCCUGCCCAGACGUGGGUCGUUCCCGGUGACGCACGCGGCAUCCCGGGGGGAUGCGGAGGGUCCUGCCCCCACCGCGUGGCGUAGCCCCUCGGGACGAGCGCUUCCGAGGUCGGUCGUUUGGGUUUAAUUUUAGAAAAAGCACUUAUAUUUUUAAUGAAAAUUGUUCAAGGAAAUGAAAUAAAGAGAGGAAUGACACAGGAGAGCGAGCGCAUCUGCUGGUGUUGACUCUGCCGAAACGCAUCCCCAUGCAUCGGCCGCGGGGCUGGGGCACACACGGCCGCGGGAGCAAAACCCGCUUCUGCGGAGAGAGCGCAGAAUCACAGAUGGGUUGGGUGGGAAGGGACCUUGAAGAUCACCCAGUGCCACCCCCUGCCCUGGGCAGGGACACCUCCCACCAGCCCAGGUUGCUCCAAGCCCCGUCCAACCUGGCCUUGAACCCCUCCAGGGAUGGGGCAGCCACAGCUUCUCUGGGCAACCUGGGCCAGGGGCUCACCCCCCUCAGAGGGAAAAAUUCCUUCCUGAUACCCAACCGAAAUGUCCCUCUUCCAGUUUGAAGCCAUUACCCCUCGCCCUGUCGCUACAUGCCCUUGUAAACGUCCCUCCCCAGCUUUCCUGGAGCCCCUUUAGGGCCUGGAAGGGGCUGGAAGGUCUCCCCGGAGCCUUCUCUUCCCCAGGCUGAACCCCCCCAGCUCUCCCAGCCUGUCCCCACAGCUCCAGCCGUGGGAGGGCACCCUGCGAGCCCUGGGAGGGACGGGGUACUGCCAAACCACGACGAGACACCCCUGUGUCCCCGAGUUGAGCAGCGGCUGCUGCUGCAGAGGGGUCCCUGCUCCACGCGCUGUGGGGUCCCAACCAGGCUCUCCCCCGCCCAGGCGUCUGCGCCGUGGCUCAGCCUCACGCAGGUCCCCUCGCCCGUGUUCAGGGAACCUCCGGGAAGUCUCAGUUCAUCUCAGCAGAGAAAAAAAGAACAUUUUUUAAUAUGAUGGAAAUUUCUGUGGGAUGGAAAGAACAUCUCAGAGCUUAAUUUCCCCCAGCUCGGAGAGGUCUGGGAAGGUAUUUGGGGCAUCAGGAGGAUUUUUCCUGUCCUUUUAUGAAGCCCUGCUCUCAGUCACAUGCAGUGCUGUUCUCAGACUGAAAGUUUCAUCCUCCUCGAAGACAAAAUUCUCGUAUGCCUGGUCUCUCCCAGGAAUGUAAUUUUUUUUUUAAGCAAUAAACACCUGAAAUAGCUGUAAUGGGAAAAAACUGCCCGUGCCCCAUUAGUCAACCGUGGCACCAUCACGCCAGUGGGCGGGAGAGAACAGGACCCGGGGAGGGUCGGGGCCGCGCCGGCACUGCCGGGGUAGGCGGGAACGGCUCGAUAAGACUUUCAGAAGACGGUGUUCACGGAAAGAGAAGGGAUUUCAGAGCCUGGGAACGCUGGCUGCGGUUAGUGUUGCCAGCUGAAUACUUGACACUGCAAUUUCCUGUUAGUAAAACUCCUGGGAGAAACACGAAGUUGGUGCCUUUGCUCCCGAGCGUGUUCCCAGUGCGCCAGCCUCGGCCCGGGCGGUCCCUCAUCGCCGAGCCCUGGAGAUGAGGAAAACCUUCUCCUCGCUCCACCACCAAAUAUAGUCGGAAAUCAGAAGCUUGAAAUAUUUUGGGAGGAAUUUCUUCAAGCAUAAGUCAUGUUCUCAAUAACCUCCGCUUCGUGAGUCUGUAUCUGAUGUCAACAUCUGCAGUGAUUAAGAGAGAGUGAGUAACGAGGAAUGCGUGGAAUGGAAACUCAGCUGAGUGUGAAACCAGGAACAAUGAUUUUCUCUUACUCCCAACGCUCCUCUCCCCCCGCGGGGCCUUACAAACCCCCCAGCUCUGUGCGCCAGCCCCUUCCUCCGUGCCCCAAAUCAGCCAGGGCUCCGCGCUGCGACUGAGGGGACCCAAUCUCCUCUUGCUCGUUUGCUUCUCGUCCUGGGAGGGUUUUAUCGACUCCCCACGGCAGCGGUUAAAAUUUGGCAGCAGGAAAAAAAAAAAGCACCAUUUUCUCAAGUCUCACUGUCCCAGCUCGGCUGGCGCACGGUGCUGCCCGGGGGCACCCACCUGGACGCCAUUAGCCCAGCGGUGCUUAGUUGCGAGAGCUGAUCAGAGGGCGAUACUGGAAAAGGCCGGUGGUGUUUGUUUUCCAGUUCAAACAAAAACUGGUUGGGGAAGUACCGCUUCGGUGGGUUGGAGCUUUGAUCCUCUAGGGAGGAAAGUCCUCGUCUGGUGGAAAUGCUGGAGCACGAACGCUGCAAAAACUAAGGCCAAACACUUGCUGAGCUAUUGUGUAGGGAAGAAGAAGAGCAGUUAAUAAUAAUUAAUAACGUCAUCAAUAUUUCACACUUGGCAGCUGCAUAAAGCUCGCAUUCCUGGAGGAUCCGCUGCGAGAGCGAGCUAGCGCCGGCAGAGCUGACAUUUCAUCUUUGUCGACGGCUGCCAGUGAAUCAAAGACCUCACUUUUCCUGUAUCGCUGCGCUCGCACAAUGGCCCCCCUUGUGACGGGCUGUAAUUUAUGGCCGCCGUGUCCUCGGUGCCGGGAGAUGCGACAGGCUGUGGCAGAGGCGCUGCGCCGGCCCUGCGGCGCUGUGUGUCGCAGCGGGCGAAGCAGCCUCACGCACCCGCAGUACAAUGGAGCCAGGAGAUGGGGUGGUUCAAGGCUCCGCUCCCUCAUCCUGGAUUCCGUCAGUCGAGGUUAUUUCUUGGUAGCGAUUCCAGCUCCCGAGCCGGGCUGUAGCAUUCCGCCUCAGCGGCUCCUUGGCUGCGUUUCCCUGGCACCGUAGGCGCCGCGAGUCUGUUUUCUCCUCAUGUUUUGAGUUCAUUAGUGCUCAGUUUGGAGGCUUUCAGUUCACCGACUACAUUUCGGACAAAGUCUUGCAUUUUGCUUCCUUAGAAAUAAUACGUAGUUGCAGCACAACCGAAGUAUCGCAGCGUGUUCUUAAAUAUAACCUUCAAAUAGAGAGGAAAAAGGGCUGUUAGAAGGAAUUGCUAGCGGACACUGCCCUCGGGGAAGGUUUCACCUCUGCCAUCUACCGGCACGCUGCAAAGAUCCUCAGCAAAUUUAUAUCCCGUAUCCACUCCUUAAUGUAGUCAAAUCCUGGCUGUAAUUGUGUGUUCAUCAAAUGUCCCAAGAAUUUUUAACGUGCAAACUUCCAAGCGAAUCAUUACAGAGCAGUUGUCGGCUCGUUACUGAUGACAUCGAGUGGGGGCAGCUGAGAUAAAUUGAUCCCAUUUAAGCUGUUUCCGGCAGCUGAAGACAAACUUUCAAAGCCAAACCUGGGUCCCUGCAGCUAAAAUCUCCUCCUGGAGGAUCACUAAAACGUUUGGAAAGUGAUUCAGGGGGAGGAGAAGGCUAUUUAAUAACGUGAAGCAAACAGCCGUGUUCUAAACAACGCACAGUAAAGGAGUUCAGCCAGAGCAGGGCAAUGGUCUGUGCGUCUCCAUCUGCUGCUGGGAUACCACUUGUUUAGAGAACUGCUUCAUCCAG
Chroicocephalus ridibundus (black-headed gull) is the source of this 4708-nucleotide long non-coding RNA. RefSeq lists it as uncharacterized. The transcript is spliced from 3 exons. The record is from RefSeq and is a predicted model, not a curated record. NCBI's taxonomy places the organism in Eukaryota, Metazoa, Chordata, Aves, Charadriiformes, Laridae.